CCAAUAGCGUAUAUUAAAGUUGUUGCAGUUAAAAAGCUCGUAGUUGAAUUUCGGGACCAAUCUGCCGGUCGUGCCUCCGGUACGCACUGGUUUUAUUGGUUUCUCCCUUCUGACGAACCAUGAUGUCAUUAAUUUGGUGUCAUGGGGAAUCAGGACUGUUACUUUGAAAAAAUUAGAGUGUUUAUAGCAGGCUCACGCUUGAAUACAUUAGCAUGGAAUAAUGAAAUAGGACGUUUGACCCUAUUUUGUUGGUUUCUAGGAUCGACGUAAUGAUUAAUAGGGAUAGUUGGGGGCAUUAGUAUUCAAUUGUCAGAGGUGAAAUUCUUGGAUUUAUUGAAGACUAACUACUGCGAAAGCAUUUGCCAAGGAUGUUUUCAUUAAUCAAGAACGAAAGUUAGGGGAUCGAAGACGAUCAGAUACCGUCGUAGUCUUAACCACAAACUAUGCCGACUAGGAAUCAGACGAUGUUAAUUUUUUAAUGACUCGUUUGGCACCUUACG
This 500-nucleotide unclassified non-coding RNA is filed under the name uncultured Glomus. RNAcentral describes it as "SSU rRNA". It matches the Rfam family "Eukaryotic small subunit ribosomal RNA", at positions 591 to 1092 of the family's 1831-position model. The record is from RNAcentral. Lineage: Eukaryota; Fungi; Glomeromycota; Glomeromycetes; Glomerales; Glomeraceae.